RNAcentral lists this ribosomal RNA (228 nucleotides) under uncultured bacterium. Its description in RNAcentral is "partial 16S ribosomal RNA". It matches the Rfam family "Bacterial small subunit ribosomal RNA", at positions 568 to 795 of the family's 1533-position model. The record is from RNAcentral.
UACGUAGGCGGAAUAAUAAGUCAGUGGUGAAAUCCUGCGGCUCAACCGUAGAACUGCCAUUGAAACUGUUAUUCUUGAAUGUAGUUGAGGUAGGCGGAAUGUGUAAUGUAGCGGUGAAAUGCUUAGAUAUUACACAGAACACCGAUUGCGAAGGCAGCUUACUAAACUAUGAUUGACGCUGAUGUACGAAAGCGUGGGGAGCGAACAGGAUUAGAUACCCUGGUAGUC